GACGAACGCUGGCGGCGUGCCUAAUACAUGCAAGUCGAGCGGGCCUCCGGAGGUGCUUGCACCUCCGGAAGGCCAGCGGCGGACGGGUGAGUAACACGUGGGCAACCUGCCUUUGAGGCCGGGAUAACACCGGGAAACCGGUGCUAAUACCGGAUACGUCCUCUUUCGCGCCUGCGAGAGGGGAGAAAGACGGUCUCUAAGGCCGUCGCUCAAAGAGGGGCCCGCGGCGCAUUAGCUGGUUGGUGGGGUAAGGGCCUACCAAGGCGACGAUGCGUUGCCGACCUGAGAGGGUGAUCGGCCACACUGGGACUGAGACACGGCCCAGACUCCUGCGGGAGGCAGCAGUAGGGAAUCAUCCGCAAUGGGCGAAAGCCUGACGGUGCAACGCCGCGUGAGUGAGGAAGGUUUUCGGAUCGUAAAGCUCUGUUGUGAGGGAAGAACAGCUUCCGGAGGAAAUGCCGGAGGUUUGCCGGUACCUCACCAGAAAGCCCCGGCUAACUACGUGCCAGCCGCCGCGGUAA
This 521-nucleotide ribosomal RNA is filed under the name uncultured bacterium. RNAcentral's name for it is "partial 16S ribosomal RNA". It matches the Rfam family "Bacterial small subunit ribosomal RNA", at positions 28 to 523 of the family's 1533-position model. The record is from RNAcentral.